This 580-nucleotide small RNA is filed under the name Pan troglodytes (chimpanzee). RNAcentral's name for it is "retained intron". Lineage: Eukaryota; Metazoa; Chordata; Mammalia; Primates; Hominidae. The record is from RNAcentral.
CUCUUCCGCCGUCGUCGCCGCCAUAGUCGGCGCGACUCGCUUCUUUCGGUUCUACCUGGGAGAAUCCACCGCCAUCCGCCACCAUGGUGAACUUCACGGUAGACCAGAUCCGCGCCAUUAUGGACAAGAAGGCCAACAUCCGCAACAUGUCUGUCAUCGCCCACGUGGACCAUGGCAAGUCCACGCUGACAGACUCCCUGGUGUGCAAGGCGGGCAUCAUCGCCUCGGCCCGGGCCGGGGAGACACGCUUCACUGAUACCCGGAAGGACGAGCAGGAGCGUUGCAUCACCAUCAAGUCAACGUGAGCUCCCUGUGCCCUCUGUACCCAGGCAGGGAGGUGCUGGCCUGGCAGCUGGAGGCCACUGGGCCAGGGUGCGCGGGGAGAGACUUGGCAACGUCUCUUUCUCCUGGUUUCUUAAUUCAUGGGAGAAUGAGUGAGGUUCAGUCCAGGGAGAUAGGAUGGAGAGGCACAGGGAUUGGGGGUACUGCGAGCUGGAAGGUUUUCUUGAGGAGGGGGCUUCACUCAGUGGUUCUCCCUCCCUGGGGGACUUGCCCCCACUCCUACAAUAUCUGGAGAGGU